AUUCCAGCUCCAAUAGCGUAUAUUAAAGUUGUUGCAGUUAAAAAGCUCGUAGUUGAAUUUCUGGUGGGAGUGUACAGUCCGACACUGAGUGUUGGUUCUUGUGUGUCUCCGGCCAUCCUUGGAGUGAAUCUGUCUGGCAUUUAGUUGUUGGGCAGAGUAUCUCCAUCGUUUACUGUGAGGAAAGGAAAGUGUUCAAAGCAGGCUUACGCCGUUGAAUCUUUUAGCAUGGAAUAAUAAUUUAGGACUCUGUUUCUAUUUUGUUGGUUUCCGGAAACGGAGUAAUGAUUGAUAGGGAUUGUUGGGGGUGCUAGUAUUCAGCGGCCAGAGGUGAAAUUCUCGGACUCGCUGAAGACUAACUUAUGCGAAAGCAUUCACCAAGGAAGUCUUCAUUG
RNAcentral lists this ribosomal RNA (392 nucleotides) under Eucampia sp. RNAcentral's name for it is "partial small subunit ribosomal RNA". It matches the Rfam family "Eukaryotic small subunit ribosomal RNA", at positions 582 to 975 of the family's 1831-position model. The record is from RNAcentral. Lineage: Eukaryota; Bacillariophyta; Thalassiosirophyceae; Eucampiales; Eucampiaceae.